AUAAUGGUGCUGCGAUAGACAAAUCAAAAAUUACUUCGAAGUUUAGUGACUUCGGGCGCGAAUAUAAUCAUGAGGUUUCGUUUCUGCUUGUAUCAUGUGAUCAAUGAUUAAAACAAUCGAUGACAGUGGAUUUGGCGGCUUGUGUCAGAUUGUGUGAUUGCUUUUCUAACCUCUAAAAGAGUCACGCUUCUGCGGACGUUAUCCAGGAAUAUACUGUUGUAAACCUUUGUCUGAACUUGAGCAUCGAAAUAUGUCAAACGUACAGACGGUAAACAGUAUAAUUAGCAACAGAAAUCGCGAUUGUUUCGAAUGCAGACUGCUAAGUGGCAGCGGUCUCGUCGCUGCUGGUUUAUACGUCUGUCAUCAUUCCAAACAGUAUCAAAAUCAAGUUAAAAAAGCAGCGAUGUAUUCGAUUGCAUCUGCAUUGGUACUUCUUGGCACAGCUAGGAUUUUCGACUUACCACCUUUUCAAAAUAAGUUUAAGCGCAGUUGAGAAACAAACUGCUUAAGCGAGCACAAAUUCACAACAUGUAGAAAUUUCAUAAAUAAUGCGAAAUCAAGGUGACUAUUGA
This is a long non-coding RNA of Pseudomyrmex gracilis, 572 nucleotides long. RefSeq lists it as uncharacterized. The record is from RefSeq and is a predicted model, not a curated record. The transcript is spliced from 2 exons. NCBI's taxonomy places the organism in Eukaryota, Metazoa, Arthropoda, Insecta, Hymenoptera, Formicidae.